Molecule: unclassified non-coding RNA, 209 nt
Filed under: uncultured fungus
Lineage: Eukaryota; Fungi
Description: partial contains 18S rRNA, ITS1, 5.8S rRNA
Rfam family: 5.8S ribosomal RNA (bases 159-209)
Source: RNAcentral
UAACAAGGUUUCCGUAGGUGAACCUGCGGAAGGAUCAUUAGUGAAUUGCUCUUUGAGCGUUAAACUAUAUCCAUCUACACCUGUGAACUGUUGAUUGACUUCGGUCAAUUACUUUUACAAACAUUGUGUAAUGAACGUCAUGUUAUUAUAACAAAAAUAACUUUCAACAACGGAUCUCUUGGCUCUCGCAUCGAUGAAGAACGCAGCGA